CGAAAUCAGCGCGACGCCAGCCUCCUCCCACCUCCACCUCGCAUUCCGCGCCAGCCUAACCCGCCGCCGCCACUUGGUGCUGCCCCAGCAGGCGAGCCGCCACCUGAACCCACCGUCGCCGCCUAGGGCCAGUGGCAGCGCGCCAUGUGCCCCUGCCAGUGCCUCCCUCCUCCCACCUCACGCCGGCCCAGAUCGGGGCCCGCCCGAGCCCAUCUAGGCCCGGACGAGCCCGCGUCGCCACCCGCAACCGCAGGAGUCUAGCUCCUCGAGCUCCCUCGUCGCCGAUCCCGUGCGGCGCCUCCCGCCGUCUUUCGCGCCUCCGGCGGGUCACCGGAGCCGACCCUCGUCAGAGAUCGUGGCCACCGCCUCCGCCAGAGCCGCCAUGGAUGAGUCCCACCUCGCCGGAUCCCGCAUCCCCGAGCGCCGCCGACCACUUCCGUCACCGGAUCUGGAACCAUCGUCCUCGGAUCCGCCCAUCCUCGUCGUCCGGCAGGUUCCCGUCGACCCAGUCGCCGCCGUCAUGCCGAGUUCGCCGCCAGCCGCCAUUUUUGCUCUGCUUCCGUCGAACAGAGGUCGACGCACCCAGUUGCUCGCGUUGACCCGUACCUGGGCCGCCUCCUCCUCAUCGGGCCUGCUAGCCCAAGGACGCGCUAAGGCCUGCCCGCAUCCCCUCAGCCAGCCGGCUGCACCGACUGGGCCUUGGCCCAUGUUGCAGGUACCGAUGAUAUCAAUGCAGACGACGCAAUCAAGCUCAAGUGGGAGCUCGAUGAAGAUCGUGUUCAUUGUGUUGUUUCGUUUUCCAGUUGAUCAGUAGUGGAGCCCAGUCGGGGUGAUCGGGGAUCUAGCAUU
Long non-coding RNA from Triticum aestivum (bread wheat), 849 nucleotides. RefSeq lists it as uncharacterized. The record is from RefSeq and is a predicted model, not a curated record. The transcript has 3 exons. Lineage: Eukaryota; Viridiplantae; Streptophyta; Magnoliopsida; Poales; Poaceae.